This 486-nucleotide long non-coding RNA is filed under the name Zalophus californianus (California sea lion). RNAcentral describes it as "lncRNA (ENSZCAG00015004113.1)". Lineage: Eukaryota; Metazoa; Chordata; Mammalia; Carnivora; Otariidae. The record is from RNAcentral.
CUUAGCGAUGUGGACAGGAGUCGAAGGACUAGAAUGAGAUCACUGAACUCAUUUCACUUGUUGCUUACGGUACAGUCCAGCAUGAGCUGGAAAUGUAGGAACCUCAGCCUCCCGAGCAGAAAGAUUCAACCAGAUCAGUACCAAAAGACUAUAUGCUAGCAGAAAUCUCAAGACCAUUCCAAGCUUUGUCUUCACCUGGAGGCAGUCUCAGAGAUCCCAAGGUUCCGUGACCAUCAGUCUGUGGCCUGCCCCUUCUCUUUAUAAACUUCUUGAAUUCUGUCUGAUGCCUGAUGACCUGACAAACUGGCCCAGAAUCAGAAGCCGGUCGUGCCGUGUGAGCUGUUAGCCAAGUUAUUCAGCUUGAACUGCUCCUUCAAAAACAGUAGGAAGGCGAGUAUCAGACAUAAGACCUGUGGUACCCAACCCAGUGUCAUCAGUAUCACCUGGGAGCUUUCUAGAAAUGCAGAAUCACAGACUCAGUCCCAG